GAGACUUUAAUUUAAUAGGUAAAAUAUGUGACUUUUAAUCAUUAUAAUGAGGGUUCGAGUCCCUUAGGUCUUA
Molecule: transfer RNA, 73 nt
Filed under: Graphis lineola
Lineage: Eukaryota; Fungi; Ascomycota; Lecanoromycetes; Ostropales; Graphidaceae
Description: tRNA-Lys
Rfam family: tRNA
About the family: Transfer RNA (tRNA) molecules are approximately 80 nucleotides in length.
Source: RNAcentral